This 631-nucleotide long non-coding RNA is filed under the name Phasianus colchicus (ring-necked pheasant). RNAcentral describes it as "lncRNA (ENSPCLG00000017748.1)". The record is from RNAcentral. Lineage: Eukaryota; Metazoa; Chordata; Aves; Galliformes; Phasianidae.
GUUGUGGGUUGGGGUCGAAGGCGGUCGUUUGGGGGUCAAAGGUCCCAUGUUUGGGGUCAAAGGUCAUCGUUGGGGUCAAAGGUCGUGGGUUGGGGGGUCAAAGGUCGUGAUUUUGGGGUCAGAGGUCUUGUGUUUGGGGUCAAUGGUCCCAUAUUUGGGGUCAAAGGUCAUCAUUUUGGGGUUCAAAGGUCAUCAUUGUAGGACACCAAGGUCAACGUUGAGGGUCAGAGGUCAACACUGGGGGUCAAAGGUCACAAUUUUCGGGACAAAGGUCGUGGGUUGGGGGUCAAAGGUCAACACUGGGGGUCAAAGGUCGACGUAUUGGAGUUGUAGGCCCCAUAUUCGGGGUCAAAGGUCACAGAUUUGGGGUCAAAGGUCACAGAUUGGGGGUCGAAGGUGGAUUUGGAGGUCAAAGGUCAACUCUGGAGGUCAAAGGUCAACUCUGCGGGGUCAAAGGUCAUCGUUGGGGGGUCAAAGGUCAAAGAUUGGAGGGUCAAAGGUCAGAUUUUGGGGUCAAAGGUCAAAGUUGGGGGUCAGAGGUCAACGCUGGGGUCAAAGUUCGUCGCUUGGGGGUCGGAGGUCCCACAUUUGGGGUCAAAGGUCACAGAUUGGGGUCAAGGUGACAGAUUGA